GUGCUUUCUUCCUUCAUUUGUCUUUUCAUUGGCUUUAUUUUUCGUAUGAUCUUAUAUUGUAGUUAAAUUGACCUUGAAAGAAUCUAGUUAAAAUUCGGCAAAAUCUUAAACUAGUUCUACCAAGAAGUCAGAAGUGUACAAGUUUAGGGGUUUAUUUUGGAUAUCUUGAUAUUAUAUGACAAAUGGACAUUCACCUUGGAAUACUUUUUUGAAGACAUAAAAAUGGAAUAUAUUAACGACAGCAGUGAAACACCUAAGUAUAAGAUGUAUUAAAAGUGCCACCCCUAAUAACAGUCAAACAUACAAAUUAGAGUCAAAGCAAAGGUCGAUCUAAACCCAAACAAAAUAAAGGGUCCGACCACCAUCUUUGAGUACCAUACAUGAAAUUUGCUUUGUUAGCUUGAAGCCACCAUAAAGAAUGAAAUCGAACUUUAUCUGCUAGUAGUUCAACUGUGGUUUGGAUAUUAUUAAAAAGUCUAUUAUUACGUUCAUUCACCUUGGAAUACUAAUUUGAAGAUUUGAUUAGGUUAAUAUUCAAUGAGAAUAGUAAUUAGACACUCUUUCAGAAACACUUUUGAACAUAUUCUUUGUAACAAAAUUUGAUUUAUUUGUCUUGUAAUUUAGUCAUUUUAUAAAAAUUGUGUUAUUUUGUAAACGAACUCACAAAGAAUGUCUAGAGAGCGUGUCUAAAAAAAUGUUUUACUAGCAUUUUUCUAUGUCUCAUAGUAGCCUCUCACUAUUGUAGCUUCCGAGCUGACAAUCAAGACUG
This 769-nucleotide long non-coding RNA is filed under the name Medicago truncatula (barrel medic). Its description in RNAcentral is "long non-coding RNA (MTRU_LNC007915)". The record is from RNAcentral. Lineage: Eukaryota; Viridiplantae; Streptophyta; Magnoliopsida; Fabales; Fabaceae.